Triticum aestivum (bread wheat) is the source of this 136-nucleotide non-coding RNA. Lineage: Eukaryota; Viridiplantae; Streptophyta; Magnoliopsida; Poales; Poaceae. The record is from Rfam.
GAAGUACUCCCUCCGUCCGAGAAUACUUGUCAUCAAAAUGGAUAAAAAAAGGAUGUAUCUAGAACUAAAAUACGUCUAGAUACAUCUCCAUUUAUCCAUUUUGAUGACAAGUAUUUCCGGACGGAGGGAGUACACU